GAUAAACCAACAUCUCUACCUCUAUACACAUUUGUUUCAUCUUUUAUAAUCAGUCCUUAUCAUUACAUGCAUGUUCUUCAUUCUCAUGCUCUUUGUUGGCGCAUGAUUUGGUGUAUCUUUGACAUAAUUCCUUCAUUGGCCAAAUUUGCUUUAGUUUCACCACCACUAUCAGAUAUGAAAUGAUACUGAAUUCACUUUAGUUUCACCACCACUAUCAAAUAUCAAAUAUCAACAGACAUUCAAGACAGUUGCUCUAUAUGGAUCGUGUGCACCUUGGGUAAAUAACUUGGCAUUUCACAGCGAUUGAUUGAUUCUAAAUUGUUUGGAAUCUUAUAGGAUUUGUGAUAUUUGGGAUAUUUUGAUAAACAUGAUGCAUAGGUGUAGUAUAUGCCUUUUGUUAAUGUUUGGAGCAAUCAAUAGUUGUGAAGCUAGUUCCAUUACAUUAACUAGAAUUCUUUGCUUGCUUUAUUCCUAUUUUCAGGAAAUGGUGAAGGGUCACUACACCAAAAUCGCACAUCUAUUGGAUUUGAUGAAUUGAAAUGAGGUUGAUCAAAGACUAUAACUUCUGGAGUUGCUUAUCUUUUAAGGCUGAGAGGAAUCGGUACUUAUGUGUCUGGUUCGAUCUUCCCUCAAAGUGAGAUUGUAGAAAUUGAUGUGCGCACACAUCUGCAAAUUGAAAAAAUAACAUGUUACAGCUACAUCGGGAUGCCUAGUGAUUGGGCAGCAUGAUGGGUCAAUUUGCUGCUUCCAACUUGGCUUACUUGACCAGAGUGCACUAGGUAUUCUUUUAAUAAUGGGAAGAUUAUAUAUGCAUGAAUGUGUUCACUUUUCUUCUUCUUUAUUCUGUGUUUAUACAACAUUAUAUGAAGGCACAAAUGUUACUUGUCUCUUGCACAACACAGCAAAAGAAACUUUUAUUGAGGAAACAAUGAGUCAAUGACCCAUAUUUUGCUAGUGAUGAACAAUAGUUUCCUAGGGUCAAUGUCUUUCAACAGUAGCUGUUAAAUAGCAUUUGGAUAUGUGUCAUUCAAGAAAUUGACUUUUGUUGGCUGGCUUUUAUUAUUAUCUUUUGAAUCAUAAGCUAAUAUCUAUCAGUUGUGUGGCCCACUGUCUAAUCUUCAGCAAAUGAAUUAGCUGUGAUCAUUUGUUAGAUCUAGAUAUUCAUUGGAGUUUCAGCUUCCCUCCUUUAACAUGAUUGAAGGCGGUCUUUAGAAAAUGUGAUAGGUGGGGUUGUGGACAAUGCUUGAGUAUGUGAAGCUGGCUUGAAAGCAGUUCAAUCCGGACUUGCAUAGGCUGAAGAGGAUGAGAGUUAUAUCUUUAUAUCAUCAAUGCUCAGCUUAUUGGCUUAGUAUGGUAUACGGCCACAUGCAAUAAAUGCUUCUGCUAUUGCUAAUAGUGCAAAGGUAUAUCUGUAUGAUAAGUUUUUGUGUUAAUCCAAUCUUUUGAAUCCUUUAUCAGCUUGAUUUUGUAAAUUCAAU
Magnolia sinica is the source of this 1478-nucleotide long non-coding RNA. RefSeq lists it as uncharacterized. The transcript is spliced from 3 exons. Lineage: Eukaryota; Viridiplantae; Streptophyta; Magnoliopsida; Magnoliales; Magnoliaceae. The record is from RefSeq and is a predicted model, not a curated record.